GAGGGUGGGGUCCCUCGGAGUCGCCUUGCAGGAGGAGGCUCCAAACUGCCAGGAGCUGCUUUAGCCAAAAGCUGCGGUGGUGAACGUCCUGGU
This is a non-coding RNA of Cyanobacteria bacterium 13_1_40CM_2_61_4, 93 nucleotides long. Lineage: Bacteria; Bacillati; Cyanobacteriota. The record is from Rfam.